UUCGGGGUCGUCUAGUGGUAGGACAUUGCACUUUGACUGCAAUAACGUUGGUUCGAAUCCAGCUCCCGAAG
RNAcentral lists this transfer RNA (71 nucleotides) under Caudoviricetes sp. RNAcentral's name for it is "tRNA-Gln". It matches the Rfam family "tRNA". From Rfam's summary of the family: Transfer RNA (tRNA) molecules are approximately 80 nucleotides in length. Their secondary structure includes four short double-helical elements and three loops (D, anti-codon, and T loops). Further hydrogen bonds mediate the characteristic L-shaped molecular structure. tRNAs have two regions of fundamental functional importance: the anti-codon, which is responsible for specific mRNA codon recognition, and the 3' end, to which the tRNAs corresponding amino acid is attached (by aminoacyl-tRNA synthetases). tRNAs cope with the degeneracy of the genetic code in two manners: having more than one tRNA (with a specific anti-codon) for a particular amino acid; and 'wobble' base-pairing, i.e. permitting non-standard base-pairing at the 3rd anti-codon position. Lineage: Duplodnaviria; Heunggongvirae; Uroviricota; Caudoviricetes. The record is from RNAcentral.